RNAcentral lists this transfer RNA (72 nucleotides) under Danionella translucida. It matches the Rfam family "tRNA". Rfam says of the family: Transfer RNA (tRNA) molecules are approximately 80 nucleotides in length. Their secondary structure includes four short double-helical elements and three loops (D, anti-codon, and T loops). The record is from Rfam by way of RNAcentral. Lineage: Eukaryota; Metazoa; Chordata; Actinopteri; Cypriniformes; Danionidae. RNAcentral also lists the same sequence under 1 other name.
GGCCUGUUAGCUCAGCUGGUUAGAGCGUGGUGCUAAUGCGCAAGGUCGUGGGUUCGAUCCCCACAUGGGCCA